GGGGGGGGGGGGGGGGGGGCGGGGCGGGGGGGGGUCGGGGGGGGGCGGAGGGGGAGGGUGCUCUGAGGGGGGGCGAGGGGCGGACGGGGGAGGAAGACAUCGGAGUCUACUUUUUCGUGGGGGAUAACGUAGGGAAACUUACGCUAAUACCGCAUACGACCUACGGGUGAAAGCAGGGGAUCUUCGGACCUUGCGCGAUUGAAUGAGCCGAUGUCGGAUUAGCUAGUUGGCGGGGUAAAGGCCCACCAAGGCGACGAUCCGUAGCUGGGCUGAGAGGAUGAUCAGCCACACUGGAACUGAGACACGGUCCAGACUCCUACGGGAGGCAGCAGCGGGGAAUAUUGGACAAUGGGCGCAAGCCUGAUCCAGCCAUACCGCGUGGGUGAAGAAGGCCUUCGGGUUGUAAAGCCCUUUUGUUGGGAAAGAAAAGCAGCAGGUUAAUACCCCGCUGUUCUGACGGUACCCAAAGAAUAAGCACCGGCUAACUUCGUG
RNAcentral lists this ribosomal RNA (492 nucleotides) under uncultured bacterium. RNAcentral describes it as "partial 16S ribosomal RNA". It matches the Rfam family "Bacterial small subunit ribosomal RNA", at positions 38 to 507 of the family's 1533-position model. The record is from RNAcentral.